GUGCCCUCCACAGUUUGUUUAUCCACUCUCCUUUUGAAGGACAUCUUGGCUGCUUCCAGUCUUUGGCAAUUACAAAUAUAGCGUUUUGUGUGUGAGUUUUUGUGUGAACAUAAGUUUUCAACUCAUUUGGUAAAAUACUAGGAGCAUGAUUGCUGGAUCAGAUGGGAAGACUCUGUUUAGCUUUGUAAAAAAACUGCCAAACUGUCUUCUUCCAAAGCGGCUGCACCGUUUGCAUUCCCACAAGCAAUGAGAGUUCCUGUUGCUCCACAUCCAUAUCGAUAUCAAUAUUUUGGACUUGAGCCAUUCUAAUAGGACAAUUAAACUCAAAUGGACAAAAUGACAACAACACAAACAACAAGGGAACACAUUACCAGUGAACAGCAAAGAUGUAUGUGACUAAGAGUGCUGAGGAACAACUAAUGCCUAAUAUCAGCGGAGGUUAGGUUUUGCCAUGAAACUUACAAAAAAAAGGUUUGGAUUUUCAAAGCUUUUCAGAUUUUGGAAUUUCAUGCAAGAGAUUUUGGACAUAAUAUAUUUAAUCAGUCUCCUAUUGAUGAAUACUAAGAAUGUUUCAAAUAUUUUACAAUUACAAACGAUGUUGGACUGAAUAACCUAGUACAAACAUCAUUUCACAUUUGGGUACAAAUAUAUUUGUAAGAUAAAAUCCUGGAAAUGAAAUUGCUGGGUCAAAGGAUAUGUGCACUGUAAUUUUCAUAGAUAUGCCAAAUUGCCCUCCACAAAGGAUUACCAAUCUAUACUCCCACUCCACAUCUUUGCAAACACAAUGUUUUAUCAAAAUGUUUUCUUUUAUUUUGAAAUAAUUUCAGACUUACAGAAAUGUUUCAAGAAUAGUACAGAGAGAUCUUUUCUUACCCUGAAGCAUUCAAAAGUAAGUAUGUGACUUGAUAUCCCAUCACUCCUGAAUACUAUAGUCUACACUUUUGGCAAACAAGGUAACUCUUCUGCAUACCCACAAUACAACCAUCAAAAUAAGGAAAUCAUACUGAUAUAUUAAUACCAUCUACCACAGAUCCUAUUCAAGUUUCACCAAUUGUUCCAAUAAUGUACUUUAUAGCAAACAGAUUUUAUACAGGAUCAUAUGUUGUAUUUAAUUUGUCCUAUCUCUUUAGUCUUUGUCAUUUCAGAAAAAUUUCUCAGUCUUCCUUUGACAUUCAUGACCUUGACACUUUGCAGAUUAAACUAGUUAUUUUAUGGAUGUGUGGAUUGUUUCCAGUUGUUGGUUAUUAAAAACAAAGCUGCUUGCUAUGAACAUUCAUGUUGAAGAAUUUGUACAGAUAUAUAUUUUCCUUUCUUUUGGGUAAUACCUAGGAGUGCAAUGUCUGGAUCGUAUGUGUAAGUGUCCAUUUAACUUUUUAAGAAAUUAUAAAAUAGUUUCUCAAAGUGGUCUUGCCACUUAUGUUCCUGCAUGUAUUAUAUGAAAGCUCCACUUGCUCCACAGCCUUGCCAGUCCUUGCUAUAAUUUUUUUUUUAAUUUAGCCAUUUUCUUACUGUGAUUCUAUUGCAUUUCCCUAAGAACUAACAAUAUUGAACAUUUUUCCAUGUGCUUAUUUUCCAUCAGAAUAUCUUUUUUGGUGGAGUAUCUCUUCAUAUCUUCGCUCAUUUAAAAAAUGUGUUGUUCAUUUUCCUAUUAUUGAGUUUUGCGAAUUCUUUACAUAUUCUGGAUAUAAGUCCUUUAUGAGAUAUGUGAUUUGCAAAUAUUUCUCCCAGUCUGUGGCUUGUCUUUUCAGUCUCAACAGACACUUUAUAAAGCAGAACUUCUUAAUUUGGUAAGUACAAUUUAUCAAUUUUUUUCUUUUAUGGAUUGUACUUUUAAUGUUGUAUCUCCAAAAUCUUUGCUUAACAAAAAAUAAAAACAAUUUUUCCAAUGUUUUCUUCUAAAAGUUUUAUAGUUUUAGCUUUUACAUCUAGAUCCUUGAUCCAUCAUAAUAUAAUUUUUGUAUAUGUUGUAACAUUUGUUGAAAAGACCAUCCUUUUCCUUAAUGGAAUUGGCUUUGCCCUUUAUUGAAAUAAACUGACCACAUAUAUAUGAGUCUACUUUGGGACUAUUCUUUUUCAUUGAUUUGUUUGUCUGUCUUAACACCAAUAAUCCUAUAUUGAAUACUAUAGCUUUAUAAUAAGUCUUGAAAUCAAGUAGUGUUAGUCUUACCACUUUUAUUUUUCUCUUUUGCAAAGUUAUUUUUGGCUACUGUAGGUCCUCUGCAUUUUCAUACAAAUUUUAUAAUCAGAUAAUCAAUAUCUGUCCCAAAGGCUGUUGGGAUUUUGACUGCAAUUGCACUGAAUCUAUACAUCAAUUUGUAGUAAAUCAACAUUUAACAAUAUUGAGUCUUCUAAUCCAUAAGUGCAGUAUGUCUUUCCAUUUAUUUAGGUCUUCUUUCAUUUCUCUCAGCAGUAUUUUAUGA
Ailuropoda melanoleuca (giant panda) is the source of this 2420-nucleotide long non-coding RNA. RefSeq lists it as uncharacterized. The record is from RefSeq and is a predicted model, not a curated record. Lineage: Eukaryota; Metazoa; Chordata; Mammalia; Carnivora; Ursidae. The transcript has 3 exons.